GACGAACGCUGGCGGCGUGCCUAAUACAUGCAAGUCGAACGAGUGGCGGACGGGUGAGUAACACGUGGGAACCUACCCAUCAGAGGGGGAUAACCCUUGGAAACCGGUGCUAAUACCGCAUACGCUAUGAGGGACCCGCGGUGCAUUAGCUAGUAGGUGGGGUAACGGCUCACCUAGGCGACGAUCCCACGCUGGUCUGAGAGGAUGACCAGCCACACUGGAACUGAGACACGGUCCAGAAUCCUACGGGAGGCAGCAGUGGGGAAUAUUGCACAAUGGGCGCAAGCCUGAUGCAGCCAUGCCGCGUGUAUGAAGAAGGCCUUCGGGUUGUAAAGUACUUUCAGCGAGGAGGCGUUACUCGCAGAAGAAGCACCGGCUAACUCCGUGCCAGCCGCCGCGGUAAUAC
This 406-nucleotide ribosomal RNA is filed under the name uncultured bacterium. RNAcentral's name for it is "partial 16S ribosomal RNA". It matches the Rfam family "Bacterial small subunit ribosomal RNA", at positions 28 to 526 of the family's 1533-position model. The record is from RNAcentral.